Molecule: long non-coding RNA, 242 nt
Filed under: Trifolium pratense (red clover)
Lineage: Eukaryota; Viridiplantae; Streptophyta; Magnoliopsida; Fabales; Fabaceae
Description: long non-coding RNA (TPRA_LNC003302)
Source: RNAcentral
UUAGAAAUGAGUAUUGGGCCUAACUCAUCCCUACAAAACCGGCUUGUAAGGUGAGGAUUGCCUCUAGUAUAUAAACACUUAGUCAGGCCAUCUCUCAACCGAUGUGGGACUCUUAACACACCCCCUCACGCCCAGCACUAUUGGGCUUGGUGCGUGGAUAUAAACGGUAGGUGGCCCGAUAGCGGAAACCUGAUAACAGGUGGCCCAACGGAUCGUGGAGAGGCUCUGAUACCAUCUUAGAA